This 480-nucleotide ribosomal RNA is filed under the name uncultured bacterium. RNAcentral's name for it is "partial 16S ribosomal RNA". It matches the Rfam family "Bacterial small subunit ribosomal RNA", at positions 28 to 523 of the family's 1533-position model. The record is from RNAcentral.
GACGAACGCUGGCGGCGUGCUUAACACAUGCAAGUCGAGCGGAAAGGCCCUUUCGGGGGUACUCGAGCGGCGAACGGGUGAGUAACACGUGAGUAAUCUGCCCCUGGCUUUGGGAUAGCCACCGGAAACGGUGAUUAAUACCGGAUACGACCACUUCUCGCAUGGGAUGGUGGUGGAAAGUUUUUCGGCCAGGGAUGUGCUCGCGGCCUAUCAGCUUGAUGGUGAGGUAAUGGCUCACCAUGGCUUCGACGGGUAGCCGGCCUGAGAGGGUAACCGGUCACACUGGGACUGAGACACGGCCCAGACUACUACGGGAGGCAGCAGUGGGGAAUAUUGGACAAUGGGCGGAAGCCUGAUCCAGCAACGCCGCGUGAGGGAUGAAGGCCUUCGGGUUGUAAACCUCUUUCAGCAGGGACGAAGCGCAAGUGACGGUACCUGCAGAAGAAGCACCGGCCAACUACGUGCCAGCCGCCGCAGUAA